UACGUAGGCAGCAAGCGUUGUUCGGAGUUACUGGGCGUAAAGGGUGCGUAGGCGGCUUUUUAAGUUUGGUGUGAAAUCUCCCGGCUCAACUGGGAGGGUGCGCCGAAUACUGAGAGGCUAGAGUGUGGGAGAGGAAAGUGGAAUUCCUGGUGUAGCGGUGAAAUGCGUAGAUAUCAGGAGGAACACCGGUGGUCGUAAAGCGGCU
RNAcentral lists this ribosomal RNA (205 nucleotides) under uncultured bacterium. RNAcentral's name for it is "partial 16S ribosomal RNA". It matches the Rfam family "Bacterial small subunit ribosomal RNA", at positions 524 to 726 of the family's 1533-position model. The record is from RNAcentral.